This 1247-nucleotide long non-coding RNA is filed under the name Marmota monax (woodchuck). Lineage: Eukaryota; Metazoa; Chordata; Mammalia; Rodentia; Sciuridae. The record is from RNAcentral.
GCCCACCUUAUUUCCCGCGGUGCUUCCCGGAGCAGCCUUGGCGGCCACAGCACGUGAAGGGCUGAAAGCGAUCUCAGGUGGCUCCUCUUCUAUCGCUCUGUGACCGCCACCAGCUGCGGUGCUUUUUAGGAGGGACUCGGGGAGACCCCAGAAGCCGGGAAAUGGUGUAUCUGGCUGCGGAGGGGGUGACAUCAGCAGGCGGGGCAGGAAGGACUGCGGGAACCAACGCGGCCGUGGUUUCCCUGCCGCCCGCAUGGAGGGGCUGCGGGCAGCCGGGACCCCGGUGUCCUGCCCUGACCGCACGUGGCUACUUGAGCUCCGAGCUCUCUCUAGGCAGGUCCUCCCCAUAGCCCCGCGACUCCCCGGACUGCAGUGACCGCGGGAGGGUCGCGGAGAGAACGCGACUCGCGUGUGAAAUGUGUGCGCGGGAGGAACCGUGGGUGUCCACCCUCGCUGUCUCGCCUUGCGUCCUCCCUCUUCCCUGGAGUCUUGGUACGCAGGGCGCCCGGUCCACGGCCUUGUAUGCGCAGCACCGUUCUUCCUUGGUGUGAGUGCGCUGUUGCUUUCAUCCAAAUAGCCCCAGCGGGGUUAAGAUUUUAUAUUCUCCACCAAGAUCCCCCUUCCUCUGAUUCGUGUUGGUCGUCACCUGAUUGGAUGCUGAUAUUGAGGGGGAAAAGACGGAGACAUUCUUACUCUCUGGAUUCCCAGAUUUGUGAAAGGAGAAAACCUCUCCCCAAAGAAAAGGAGAUGGCGCCAGAACUCAAAAACUCAGCACACUUCCAGCGCAUGGCACAAUCCUGUGUUGUGAGUGAGCAGUACUGGGGUGGAGGGUGGGAGUGGAGAGGGAUGUCCUGUGUGGCAAAAAGAUGAGUCUUAAUGUUUCACCUAUGUCCGGUUACAGGCCAGCAUUGCUCCUUCUUCAAAAAGAGUUGUUUAUUUGAGCCUCAUUUUCUCAUUCAGUGUAAAACAUUUUAUCAAUCGAGCUUGAAAUGUAAGAUAUAUCCAAAGAGGCAAGUAUACAGGUGGAUUUUAUUAAAAACCAGUACGUAGUCUUAGUGGUGCACACCUGUAAUAUACCAGCUACUCGAAAGACUGAGCAUUCCAAGUUCCAAGCCAGCCUAGGCAAUUUAGCAAGUCCCUGUUUGAAAAUUAAAAAAUAAAAAGGGAUGGGAGUAUGGCUCAGUGGUAGAGGUCACCCGGGUUCAAUUCCCCAGUACUGAAAAAUGGGAGAAAAAAGAAAAAAAAAA